GACGAACGCUGGCGGCGUGCCUAAUACAUGCAAGUAGAACGCUGAAGGAGGAGCUUGCUUCUCUGGAUGAGUUGCGAACGGGUGAGUAACGCGUAGGUAACCUGCCUGGUAGCGGGGGAUAACUAUUGGAAACGAUAGCUAAUACCGCAUAAUAGUAGAUGUCGCAUGACAUUUGCUUAAAAGGUGCAAUUGCAUCACUACCAGAUGGACCUGCGUUGUAUUAGCUAGUUGGUGAGGUAACGGCUCACCAAGGCAACGAUACAUAGCCGACCUGAGAGGGUGAUCGGCCGCACUGGGACUGAGACACGGCCCAGACUCCUACGGGAGGCAGCAGUAGGGAAUCUUCGGCAAUGGACGGAAGUCUGACCGAGCAACGCCGCGUGAGUGAAGAAGGUUUUCGGAUCGUAAAGCUCUGUUGUAAGAGAAGAACGAGUGUGAGAGUGGAAAGUUCACACUGUGACGGUAUCUUACCAGAAAGGGACGGCUAACUACGUG
Molecule: ribosomal RNA, 495 nt
Filed under: uncultured bacterium
Lineage: Bacteria
Description: partial 16S ribosomal RNA
Rfam family: Bacterial small subunit ribosomal RNA
Source: RNAcentral